Molecule: unclassified non-coding RNA, 241 nt
Filed under: Hevea brasiliensis (rubber tree)
Lineage: Eukaryota; Viridiplantae; Streptophyta; Magnoliopsida; Malpighiales; Euphorbiaceae
Source: RNAcentral
GGGAGGGGGAGAGGGGAGGGGAGGAGAGUGGUUUGGGGGUUUCACAGAUAUGCUAUUCUAGGUUUUGAAAAUCAGCUUGGCUAAAGAGAAAGUGCAAGAAAAUGGGUAAGAAAAGUUGAACGAAAUCAACGAAUUACCUGGAGACUGCAAUAUUGCGACACAGAGACUCGAAACGCGAAAGAAGGCACUGGAAUAGUGCCACGUACGCGAUCCUUUUCGCUACGCUAAGCGAGAAUGUCCU